UACGUAGGCAGCAAGCGUUGUUCGGAAUUACUGGGCGUAAAGAGUGCGUAGGUGGUUGGCUAAGUUUGGUGUGAAAUCUCCCGGCUCAACUGGGAGGGUGCGCCGAAAACUGGCUGGCUAGAGUGUGGGAGAGGGAAGUGGAAUUCCUGGUGUAGCGGUGAAAUGCGUAGAUAUCAGGAGGAACACCUGUGGUGUAGACGGCUUCCUGGACCAUUACUGACACUGAGGCACGAAAGCGUGGGGAGCAAACAGG
RNAcentral lists this ribosomal RNA (253 nucleotides) under uncultured prokaryote. RNAcentral describes it as "partial 16S ribosomal RNA". It matches the Rfam family "Bacterial small subunit ribosomal RNA", at positions 524 to 776 of the family's 1533-position model. The record is from RNAcentral.